Molecule: ribosomal RNA, 403 nt
Filed under: uncultured bacterium
Lineage: Bacteria
Description: bacterial SSU rRNA
Rfam family: Bacterial small subunit ribosomal RNA
Source: RNAcentral
UGAGGAAUAUUGCUCAAUGGGCGAAAGCCUGAAGCAGCAACGCCGCGUGCGCGAUGAAGGUCUUCGGAUCGUAAAGCGCUUUUGAGAGGGACGAGAUAGGACGGUACCUCUUGAAUAAGUCACGGCUAACUACGUGCCAGCAGCCGCGGUAAAACGUAGGUGGCAAGCGUUAUCCGGAUUCACUGGGCGUAAAGCGCGUGCAGGUGGAUUCGUAAGUUGGACGUUAAAUCUUUCGGCCUAACCGGGAGGUGUCGUUCAAUACUGCGGGGCUUGAGGGUAGAAGAGGGGGGUGGAAUUGCCGGUGUAGUGGUGAAAUGCGUAGAUAUCGGCAGGAACACCCGUGGCGAAGGCGGGUUGCAGGGCCGACACUGACGCUGAUGCGCGAAAGCCAGGGGAGCAAACG